GACGAACGCUGGCGGCGUGCCUAAUACAUGCAAGUUGAGCGCUGAAGGUUGGUACUUGUACCAACUGGAUGAGCAGCGAACGGGUGAGUAACGCGUGGGGAAUCUGCCUUUGAGCGGGGGACAACAUUUGGAAACGAAUGCUAAUACCGCAUAAAAACUUUAAACACAAGUUUUAAGUUUGAAAGAUGCAAUUGCAUCACUCAAAGAUGAUCCCGCGUUGUAUUAGCUAGUUGGUGAGGUAAAGGCUCACCAAGGCGAUGAUACAUAGCCGACCUGAGAGGGUGAUCGGCCCCAUUGGGAAUGAGACGCCGCCCCAACUCCUACGGGAGGCAGCAGUAGGGAAUUUUCGGCAAUGGGCGAAAGUCUGACCGAGCAACGCCGCGGGAGUGAAGGAGGUUUUCGGAUCGGAAAACUCUGUUGGUAGAGAAGGACGUUGGUGAGAGUGGAAAGCUCAUCAAGUGACGGUAACGACCCAGAAAGGGACGGCUAACUACGUG
This 497-nucleotide ribosomal RNA is filed under the name uncultured bacterium. RNAcentral's name for it is "partial 16S ribosomal RNA". It matches the Rfam family "Bacterial small subunit ribosomal RNA", at positions 28 to 507 of the family's 1533-position model. The record is from RNAcentral.